Molecule: ribosomal RNA, 474 nt
Filed under: uncultured Myroides sp.
Lineage: Bacteria; Pseudomonadati; Bacteroidota; Flavobacteriia; Flavobacteriales; Flavobacteriaceae
Description: bacterial SSU rRNA
Rfam family: Bacterial small subunit ribosomal RNA
Source: RNAcentral
GAUGAACGCUAGCGGCAGGCCUAACACAUGCAAGUCGAGGGGUAGAAGAAGCUUGCUUUUUGAGACCGGCGCACGGGUGAGUAACGCGUAUGCAACCUACCUUAUACAGGGGAAUAGCCCGAAGAAAUUCGGAUUAAUGCUCCAUGGUUUAUCGAUAUGGCAUCGUAUUGAUAAUAAAGAUUUAUCGGUAUAAGAUGGGCAUGCGUAUCAUUAGCUAGUUGGUGAGGUAACGGCUCACCAAGACGAUGAUCUUUAGGGGGCCUGAGAGGGUGAACCCCCACACUGGUACUGAGACACGGACCAGACUCCUACGGGAGGCAGCAGUGAGGAAUAUUGGACAAUGGGGUGGAAGCCUGAUCCAGCCAUCCCGCGUGUAGGAUGACGCCUUAUGGGUUGUAACUACUUUUAUCUGGGGAUAAACCUCUUACGUGUAAGUGCUGAGGUACCAGAAGAAUAAGCACCGGCUAACUCCGU